This 496-nucleotide ribosomal RNA is filed under the name uncultured bacterium. Its description in RNAcentral is "partial 16S ribosomal RNA". It matches the Rfam family "Bacterial small subunit ribosomal RNA", at positions 29 to 507 of the family's 1533-position model. The record is from RNAcentral.
AUGAACGCUGGCGGCGUGCCUAAUACAUGCAAGUCGAGCGAACGGACGAGAAGCUUGCUUUUCUGAUGUUAGCGGCGGACGGGUGAGUAACACGUGGAUAACCUACCUAUAAGACUGGGAUAACUUCGGGAAACCGGAGCUAAUACCGGAUAAUAUUUUGAACCGCAUGGUUCAAAAGUGAAAGACGGUCUUGCUGUCACCUAUAGAUGGAUCCGCGCUGCAUUAGCUAGUUGGUAAGGUAACGGCUUACCAAGGCAACGAUGCAUAGCCGACCUGAGAGGGUGAUCGGCCACACUGGAACUGAGACACGGUCCAGACUCCUACGGGAGGCAGCAGUAGGGAAUCUUCCGCAAUGGGCGAAAGCCUGACGGAGCAACGCCGCGUGAGUGAUGAAGGUCUUGGGAUCGUAAAACUCUGUUAUUAGGGAAGAACAUAUGUGUAAGUAACUGUGCACAUCUUGACGGUACCUAAUCAGAAAGCCACGGCUAACUACGUG